CAGGAUUCACUCAACAGAAACCCAUUUUUUUUCCAUCACGACAUGACAAACAAAAAAACCCAUUCCCCCACCCAAUUUCAAGGGAUCUUCUUGCUUCCACUGAUCGCUCUCACACCUCACUACGGGAGCUAGAAGAAAAGGAUUAUUCUCCUUUCAACUCCGUUCACCUCUGGCGUCUUCCAUCAACCAUUACUCACUUUCAACAUCAUCAAUCCCCUGUUGCUGCAACUACCUUUCACCUAGAAGAGACAAAGAAAGCAUCCGAAUCUACAAUCGCAGAAAGAAAACCAAACAAAAAAACAGUUUCUCAAGCAAGCUGAUGUUCUUGAACCAUUCAACGCAUCGAGUUUACCAAGUUAUCUUCAAAUGUGGAUUAAUUCACUUGAAGAAGGAAGUCUAUAUCAAAGAUUUCCUUCAGAUUUGUUUCAACUGCUGAUGUCAGAGUGUCUUGUCCUGCACAAUCAUAUA
Molecule: non-coding RNA, 468 nt
Organism: Vigna umbellata (rice bean)
Lineage: Eukaryota; Viridiplantae; Streptophyta; Magnoliopsida; Fabales; Fabaceae
Source: RefSeq, a predicted model, not a curated record